GUCAUUCAACAUUUAUUCAACCAAAAAUACUAAGUCAGCUCUAUACAAACUAAUGGAAGGAUACAGCUAUGCAAAUAUAGAACACUAAAGUGUUACAUGACAGAUGUAUGAG
Molecule: long non-coding RNA, 112 nt
Filed under: Homo sapiens (human)
Lineage: Eukaryota; Metazoa; Chordata; Mammalia; Primates; Hominidae
Source: RNAcentral